This 326-nucleotide ribosomal RNA is filed under the name uncultured eukaryote. RNAcentral describes it as "partial 18S ribosomal RNA". It matches the Rfam family "Eukaryotic small subunit ribosomal RNA", at positions 1470 to 1796 of the family's 1831-position model. The record is from RNAcentral.
CCCUUAGAUGUUCUGGGCCGCACGCGCGCUACACUGACGGAGCCAACGAGUAUUUUCCUUGUCCGGAAGGACUGGGUAAUCUUGUGAAACUUUGUCGUGCUGGGGAUAGAGCAUUGUAAUUAUUGCUCUUCAACGAGGAAUUCCUAGUAAGCGUGAGUCAUCAGCUCGCGUUGAUUACGUCCCUGCCCUUUGUACACACCGCCCGUCGCUACUACCGAUUGAGUGAUCCGGUGAAUAAUUCGGACUGCAGCAGUGCUUGGUCCUCCGGGCUUUGCAGUGGAAAGUUUAGUGAACCUUAUCACUUAGAGGAAGGAGAAGUCGUAACA